RNAcentral lists this long non-coding RNA (4885 nucleotides) under Sus scrofa (pig). Its description in RNAcentral is "lncRNA (ENSSSCG00000061440.1)". Lineage: Eukaryota; Metazoa; Chordata; Mammalia; Artiodactyla; Suidae. The record is from RNAcentral.
AAUCCCUGGCCUACCUCAGUGGGUUAAGGAUCUGGUACUGCCAUGAGCUGUGGUGUAGGUUGCAGAUGCGCCUUGGGUCCUGUGUUGCUGUGGCUGUGGUGUAGGCCAGCAGCUGCAGCUCUGAUUCAACCCCUAGCCUGGGAACUUCCAUAUGCUGCAGGUGCACCCCCCAAAAAGGGGGGCUGUCCAGAGAUCCCAGUGCCCAUGUCAGAGAUUUAGGCAGUACAGGGUUCAACACAGCUGGGGGGAUGGAUACCUACAUACCUGCAAGGAUGGAUACCUGAUGUCUAGCAGGAGGAACCCAGGGGAAGUUUCUGUAGUUGGCUUCUCUUCCUCCCUACCUCCCUAGGCUGGGAGACGGGGAAGAUGGAAGGUGAAAGGUGAAAAAGAUGAGAGGUCAGGUGAUGGACCCUCAUACCUACGGCAGGUGUUUGACUCAUGGGCCAGAACUGGAUUAGGGAGAAGAAAGGAAUUGUAUAUCAGAUAUGAUAUUGAUGUUUUCAUGACUCUACUGGACUUUUAAAUACCUCGGAGUGUCUUAGAGUGAAUGAAAGUGAUGGAAGAUGCCUGGGAUGUUGUCCAGGGAUGGAGCAGGAAGAUUUGAUGUAACUUGCCAGUAAAGAGAGAAAAAUGGAGUUGUUUCCUAGCUGUACCUUUUUGUGAUCAGUUUAUAUAUUAAAAAAAAAAAAUCCGCAAAGAGCUUGGCAUAGUGCCUUGGAAAUAGCAAAUUCUUAGUAAAUGCUAAAAGAUAGUUCUUAUGACCAUCCUUUUUCAUUAUUCCCUGCAUAACAAAUGAUUCAUGUCCAAGUCACCACUCUGCAGCCUCAGAAGGCAGGGUGACAGAGUGAAGCCAUGCCUGACAACCCAUAUAAAAGUCCAAGAAAAUAUCAGUAACCAAAUCACACUUUAAAGUUCACCCUCAGACCCACUUGCCUGUAAAAUGCCAAAGAAAGAAAUGGUAAAGGUAAAAUCUCUUAAAUUUGUGUUGAACAAGUGUGCCGUCCUUCCCAGGGGAGAGGGAGAGGGUUGAUCCACCUGGAGUGACAUCGGGCACUGUCCCUGGAAAUGUCCCUUGAUGAAGGCUUCGGGCACUUUGGCAGAUUGGGACCGGGGUACAUUCUGGGUGUGGUUUUCAUAGCAUCUGUGGGUCAUGGAAAUUGCAGCUCAUGAAUCCAUUCUAACUCCUUUUGCUUUGGUGGGGAAUUAGCAUCACUUUAUCUUUUUGCAAAUGACCACCCCUUAGGAGUAGAGGAGAGCUAUGUACAAGCACUCAGCUAUGGAGAAUUGGAAGCCGUGGGGAAGAUGGAAAAUACAGUGAGGCCAGGAAAAGCCUAGAGGGCUGAGAUUCACACGUAAUCCAGAUAUGGUCUCUCCAUCACUUUCUUUAAUCCCUACCAAUGGUCUUCUCCAAGACCCUAAAUCUUUUUUUUUUUUUUUUUUUGGCUGAGCUGCAGUUGUGACCUGUGCCACAACUGUGGCAACAUCAGAUGCUUUAACUCACUGCCAGGCUGGGGAUCAAAACCACAUCCUGGCGCUGUGGAGACGCUGCUGAUCCUGUUGUACCACAUCGGGAACUCCAAGACCCCAAAUUCUUUUGUUUUAUUUUGUUUUUGCUUUUGAGGGCCAUACCUGUGGCAUGUGGAAAUUCAGAGGCUGGGGGUCGAAUAGGAGUUACGGCUGCCGGCCUGCACCACAGCCACAGGAAUGCAGGAUCUGAGCCGUGUCUGUGACCUACACCACAGCUCAUGGCAGCGCCGGAUCCUUAACCCACUGAACGAGACCAGGGAUUGAACCCGAAUCCUCAUGGGUACUGGUUGUGUUUGGAAACCACUGAGCCACAACAGGAACUCCUCGAGACCGUAUAUUCUUAAUAGGCUUGUUUGAGCCUUAUUUUUAAUGUAAUAUUUGGGGAUGAUAACAAGCACUGAAAUGAGAGGAGAUGUAGGUAAAGUAAUGGGACAGGAUCAUCUAAUCCAUAAACCGGACUGAAUGCUGUAGCGUUAGCCAUAAAUAUAGUUCGGUAAUUAUGCGUCGCAUCUGGGUGAAUUAUACCCACAGCCUGUGAAGUGUGACGGGGAGAUGGACUCUGCACCUGUUUCGCUUCCUCCCUGGAUCUGGCUCUGUUAAUAACACAGCUUAUACAACUCAAGAAAAUUACCAGUGACACAGAAGCACAGAAGGCGGAUUAGGGUAGGUGUCAAUUUUAGGCGAUUGAAAUUGUACUUAAAGCACACCUUUGUUAGACCAGAGCACUUCCUGGAAUUGCACGCUGUUGAGAUUUGCUGUGAUUGAUUCUGGGAAUCUUGGGGUCACUUUACUAUUGUUGGGGGAAGAAAAACUCACACAAGAAAUCAAUACAGUCAAGCAGAACGUCUACAGAACAGCUUCCCACAGCCAUCUCUUCUUAGGAAAGAGCUUAUCUUUAAAUCACAGGAAGACUUUGGUCUUUUCAGAGCUGACCCUCCCUUCAUGGAAGCUGACCUGAGACAAUGAUUUGACAAAAAAUUUCUUCAAAUACAUGAUGGAAGUUGACUCACUCAUGGGAAGACCAACACUUAAGGCAAGAGAAUCCCUCUAAAUCCAGCCAUUCUCUUAUUCUGCUGCAGUCCAUGCACCUGCCUCAGUCUGUGUACAGGUCCCACCCUCACUGAGAGCUUGAGACACCUCCGCCUCCCUUCGGACUUUACAUGGCCCUGCUCAUUUCACCAAUUCAUUGUGUACCUUCUUAUUCAUUGAAUUCCUUCAUCACACACAUACACAUCCCUGUUCGUUUGUGCCACUUGUGUAACGUCCCCAAUCAUGUCCUUCCUUUGUUAAAACAUCUCCCUGCUCGUCUCCUUUGCUUGUCGUGCACAUCCGCCCAGUCCCCCGAGGUGGCCGUGCCUGGAGAAGGCUGGGUCCACGGGAAGAGGGAGAACAGCAGGAAGUGGCCGGUGCCCUCCCCCAUUUGAACACAUGUGAACAAAUGCAGAAAAACCAUCCAAUCCAGGCUGGUAUCCCAUCCCGAGAACCCAGCCUGAACCGCAAAAGAGUGACGGCGCCCUGGAUUGGCCUGAUGUAUGAGUCUGGCCUCCAUGUGAGGAAAGCCAGUAGCUCAGUGUAUUUUUAGUUGCUUCUUGAGGACAAGAUCUGUGCCUUACUCAUCUUCUUGCAUGUCUUGGGACCUCUCGCAAUGCAUUGAACCUAGUCAGCCUGUUACAGGUGACAUUGGAAUAAAUAUUUGAAUAAUUAUUUUGGACACUGAGUUUUUUUGUUUGUUUGUUUGUUUUUGGUCGGUUGUUUUUGGCUGCUCCUUGACAUAUGGAUUCCUAGACCAGGGAUCAGAUUCAGGUUUGAGCCACAUUUUCCACCUGUGCCACAGCUGCAGCCACGCUGGCCCCUUUAACCCACUGUGCUGGGCCGGGGCUCGAACUCGCAUCCCAGCCCUGCCGAGAUGCCACCGAUCCUGUUGUGCCACCAUGGGAACUCCACUGGACACUGAGCUUUUUAACCUAUCAGUUUUAUCAUUUACUUUUUUCUCCCCCGGCCCCCACUCUCACUGGUAGUUCCUUGAAUUAGAUGCUAAUGAGUUUUAGGCGCUGAUUAGGUUUUCAAGUACUCACCCCACUUUAGUUUCCUAUCAUAACUGUGGAUGUGAUGGGGUGGCUGUUUCAGCUGAUCUUGGAGCACUAGGGCCUCUACGAACCAGCCUUGAAGAGAGCCAGUCCAGCCGACAUGGAGUGAAGUUUGGAGAGUUUGGAAACCUGGCUCUUGGAGGCCUGAGGUCAGUGUUUUUCUUUCAUCAUUCACUCAGAGAAAGACAGAAAGGUGAGGUCAGAAUUUCCAUUAAAUAUGAAGCAUACUAAUUAGGGAAAUGGGCAAAGAACAUUGUCUCAUUACCUGGCAAAUCGAUUGUCGCUUACCGGCAACUUGGUGCCACUAGGUCUGAAAGUCAUGCCAGUGGGUAGUUUAAUACAUUCUUUGUGGAAUUGUGACACGUGCCACCGGGAAGAAUGUGUGUCACUUUAAGAUGAAAGUAAAUUCCUGUAGGAUAUACUGAGGAAAAAAAUUAUAGAGUGAUCUCUUGGCAUCUAGAAGUGAAAAAAAGUGACCAAGGGUUAUUUGCAGGAGGUUUGUCGUGUAUAAUUGCAGGCCUAAGAUGGAAACUGAAGCAGAUUAAAUCUUAAAACCUUGCACUAAAGACUCCAGUUCUGGAGUUAAUGUGCUAUAAGAUCUCUACUGCACUAGAUUGGAGACAAAGGAGAAUAGCUUUUUUUUUUUUUUUUUUUCCUCCUCCAGUCUUUUGUCUUUGUAGGGCUGCACCGGAGGCCUAUGGAGGUUCCCGGGCUAGGGGUCUAAUUGGAGCUACAGCUGCUGGCCUACACCACAGCCAUAGCAACGCUAGAUCUGAGUUGCACCUGUUACCUACACCACAGCUCACAGCAUCGUCAGAUCCUUAACCCACUGAGCAAGGCCAGGGAUCGAACCCAUGUCCUCAUGGAUACUAUUCGGUUUGUUAACCACCAAGCCAUGAUGGGAACCCCGAGAAUAGCUUUCUGAUAAAAGAAACUCAUCCACAGAGAUGACUCCUCCAAGGGCCUCUUUUCUUUGCUAGAAAAUCAGAGAGGAAAAUGACAUUGCAGGGUCACAGAAUUAAUCUUUCUCUGGACCACCAUGGCAAAAAUGACAUUUAAAAAAACCUAGAUUUAUUCCUGGAAAUAAAUCUGUUGAAAGGGAUUGUGGUUUCUAUUUGCGUGUCAGCCAACCAGAGUCUGACACAUGAAUAAAGCAAUCUUCCUGAUUAAAAAAGCUAUGGGGCCUGGGUUUGUUUUCAGGUCAGAGGCCAUUGGUCACUCAGAGGUGGCCGAGCUCUGUUUCAUAGGAAGAGGGUAAAUCAAUCAGGGUG